AUCCAAACCACGUGACCUCUGGUUGGCACACAAACUAACGAAGAGGUUAUGUUUGUAUCUAUUUUUCAAUGAUUUUUCAUUGUUUAUCGUCGUAUUUUGUCUAUUUUGGAUGCAUUUGGAUUUCGUUUCCUGUUUUUGUGAACUUUAUAAACUUUACCACAAUGCAAACUGAUUAUUUAAGGAAAUUAUUAUUGGAAACUCCAGAUGUUGCGAGAAAGAUAUUUAUUGAAGCUGAAAAUAAUUGGGGAUUUAGAUCCAUACGCAAUUCAGUCAGAAUUGGAUUUUACAGUAAAGUGCAGACCAUCAAGUUACUAUUAUAGAUAUUUAUACAUAUCUGGUGGAAUCUCGCAGUUGCUACUCUAAGCAGCAGAUGAAAGCAUACAAAAGCCUUCAGGCACAUAAAUAUUUUACAGCUGGAUUUGUUUUGAAUGGAGUAAAAAUUGUUAAUGAUUUCCUGAUUUUCAUAUUAUUGUUGGAAAGGUGAAGCAUUUCCAAAAAUCUAAUGCUAAAUGACUAAAUGCUUGGGUGGGGUGAUAGCCAGUUCUGAUGACAUAGCAAAUGCAGAUUGUAUGUGUAUGGCCGGUAAUAGUGAAGUCUGCAGCAAUCCUAUUUUUAGCUGAGUAUGCCCAGG
This 631-nucleotide long non-coding RNA is filed under the name Diabrotica virgifera virgifera (western corn rootworm). Its description in RNAcentral is "uncharacterized LOC126890546". The record is from RNAcentral. Lineage: Eukaryota; Metazoa; Arthropoda; Insecta; Coleoptera; Chrysomelidae.